RNAcentral lists this transfer RNA (69 nucleotides) under Episymploce sundaica. RNAcentral's name for it is "tRNA-Cys". Lineage: Eukaryota; Metazoa; Arthropoda; Insecta; Blattodea; Blattellidae. The record is from RNAcentral.
AGCCUUGUAUUCAUUGGAUGAUAAUAGAAUGCAAUUCUGUCGGAGUAGUUAAGAGAACUACUAAGGCUU